Ictalurus punctatus (channel catfish) is the source of this 404-nucleotide long non-coding RNA. Lineage: Eukaryota; Metazoa; Chordata; Actinopteri; Siluriformes; Ictaluridae. The record is from Ensembl.
AUAAUUUCUUAUUUGUUUUUCGCUGUGAAAUCUCCUAAGAGUCAGCAUUACAGGUCUACCCACUUUCACAGGAUCAAGUCCAACCACAGCAAACAUAAUUAUUCAGUGGCGUCGGUUUACCUGCUUCCACGUCAUCCAGCCGGCCUUCUUAAAAUCCGUUACCAAUUAAUCGUAUCGAAAGGUCAGUGAUUCCACAUUAAUGAAUGAUUUAUGACGUCUGUAAAAUUUCUAACCUUUGGGUUAGUUGAUUAAAAGUACGCUAAUUGACUUUAUUCGAUCGGUUAUUUAGCGGUUUAUUUUCCUCCCAAAUAGACCGGGCAACGAUUGAUGGCGAAGACGGAGACGACCGUAAUGAGGAGGGAAAGAAUGAAAUCCUUUUAGAGGGAAUUAUUACAGAUCGGUUG